Oreochromis niloticus (Nile tilapia) is the source of this 168-nucleotide long non-coding RNA. RefSeq lists it as uncharacterized. The record is from RefSeq and is a predicted model, not a curated record. Lineage: Eukaryota; Metazoa; Chordata; Actinopteri; Cichliformes; Cichlidae. The transcript has 3 exons.
AAACAGGACUCGACUGCAGCUCUGCUGCUGCUCUCUCACACUUUCACUUCUGCAAAAUGACGUUGAACUUCUCGUCUUUGCUCCGCCUCUUCCUGCCUCUCCCUUUAUCAGCCGGUCUGUACUCACUGGCUGUGUCCCAAUUCAGGGUCUGCACGCUUGAAGUACGCA